This is a long non-coding RNA of Chelonia mydas (Green sea turtle), 469 nucleotides long. RefSeq lists it as uncharacterized. The transcript is spliced from 2 exons. Lineage: Eukaryota; Metazoa; Chordata; Testudines; Cheloniidae. The record is from RefSeq and is a predicted model, not a curated record.
CAAAAUCCAAGGCUCUGAAGGCUAAAAAGGCCAUCUUGAAAGGAGUCCACAGUCACAAGAAGAAGGAAAUCAGGACAUCUCCCACCUUCAGGAGGCCCAAAACUUUACGAUUAUGGAGACAGCCCAAAUAUCCUAGGAGGAGUGAUCCUCGGAGGAACAAGCUUGACCACUAUGACAUUAUCAAGUUCCCCCUGACCACAGACUCACCAUGAAGAAGAUAGAGGAUAACAACACUGGUCUUCAUUGUAGAUGUCAAGGUCAACAAACAUCAGAUCAAGCAGGCUGUCAAGAAACUGUAUGAUAUUGAUGUGGCCAAGGUCAACCCAUUGAUCUGGCCCAAUGGUGAGAAGAAGGCUUAUGUCCGUCUUGCUCCAGACUGUGGUGCAUUGGAUGUAGCCAACACGAUUGGAAUAAUCUAAAGUGCAUCCAUCAAGAGCUGGGCAGAUGAGAUAACAAACUUUGUAAAACC